GUCCUGAAUUUCACUCAGUGCUGACUAUUAAAGAUAAUUUAAUUGAUCUCACCUCUUAUUUGGUUUGGAUACGUGAAAUCCCAUCAAGUUAAAGGAUCACGAGGAAGUCUCUCCCUUAAGGUUCAUGGAGACUCAAGACAAACAAGGUGUUGCUGGUACGAAUGCACACGUCUGCAAAUCUCAGGAAGCUCGGUGUCUGAUGAGGCAUUGAUCCUUACACCGAAUGGACAUGAGACUACGGAAACGGCUGCCACAGGGAAAAGGUAUGUACGGAGCUGCAGCCACACAGAUGUCAAGUUGCUUGAUUCUGCCAAGAGGCCUGCAAAAGCUCUGAAAAGGGGGA
Molecule: long non-coding RNA, 343 nt
Filed under: Sus scrofa (pig)
Lineage: Eukaryota; Metazoa; Chordata; Mammalia; Artiodactyla; Suidae
Description: lncRNA (ENSSSCG00050010548.1)
Source: RNAcentral